UCUGGUUGAUCCCGGCAGAGGCCACUGCUAUCGGAGUUCGAUUAAGCCAUGCGAGUUGAGAGGUGCAAGACCUCGGCAUACUGCUCAGUAACACGUGGACAACCUAACCUAUGGAGGGGGAUAACCCCGGGAAACUGGGGAUAAUACCCCAUAGACUAUGGAUGCUGGAAUGCUCUGUAGUUGAAAGGUCCGCCGCCAUAGGAUGGGUCUGCGGCCGAUUAGGUUGUUGUUGGGGUAACGGCCCAACAAGCCUGUAAUCGGUACGGGUUGUGGGAGCAAGAGCCCGGAGAUGGAUUCUGAGACACGAAUCCAGGCCCUACGGGGCGCAGCAGGCGCGAAAACUUUACAAUGCGGGAAACCGUGAUAAGGGAACUCCGAGUGCCCGUAAAAUCGGGCUGUCCAUCUGUUUAAAUAACAGGUGAAGAAAGGGCCGGGCAAGACCGGUGCCAGCCGCCGCGGUAAUACCGGCGGCUCGAGUGGUGGCCACUAUUACUGGGCUUAAAGCGUUCGUAGCUGGUCUGUUAAGUCUCUGGGGAAAUCUACUGGCUUAACCAAUAGGCGUUUCAGGGAUACUGGCAGACUAGGGACCGGGAGAGGUGAGAGGUACUCCAGGGGUAGGAGUGAAAUCCUGUAAUCCUUGGGGGACCACCCGUGGCGAAGGCGUCUCACCAGAACGGCUCCGACAGUGAGGGACGAAAGCUGGGGGAGCAAACCGGAUUAGAUACCCGGGUAGUCCCAGCCGUAAACGAUGCGCGUUAGGUGUAUCGGUGACCACGAGUCACCGAGGUGCCGAAGAGAAAUCGUGAAACGUGCCGCCUGGGAAGUACGGUCGCAAGGCUGAAACUUAAAGGAAUUGGCGGGGGAGCACCACAACAGGUGGAGCCUGCGGUUUAAUCGGACUCAACGCCGGGAAUCUCACCGGAUAAGACAGCUGUAUGAUAGUCGGGCUGAAGACUCUACUUGACUAGCUGAGAGGAGGUGCAUGGCCGUCGUCAGUUCGUACUGUGAAGCAUCCUGUUAAGUCAGGCAACGAGCGAGACCCA
This 1043-nucleotide ribosomal RNA is filed under the name uncultured archaeon. RNAcentral describes it as "bacterial SSU rRNA". It matches the Rfam family "Archaeal small subunit ribosomal RNA", at positions 1 to 1054 of the family's 1478-position model. The record is from RNAcentral.